This 896-nucleotide long non-coding RNA is filed under the name Bos taurus (domestic cattle). RNAcentral describes it as "long non-coding RNA NONBTAT000044". Lineage: Eukaryota; Metazoa; Chordata; Mammalia; Artiodactyla; Bovidae. The record is from RNAcentral.
CGGGUUUGGGGGAUAACGGUCACAUUUGGCUUUUUCCAGAAUGUUCUAUUAAAUUUCGGGUUUUUCUUUACCUAGAGGAAUCAUAGUGUAUCUGUCUUCAAAAAGAAAUACAAGAGGCAGCAGUCGCCACGCUACUUUCCAGGAGCAGUGAUACCUAGCCAGUGGAAAAUCAGAUCUUCAAGGCCUAACACGUCUUGUAACUGUCGGCCCUGUCUUUUUAAAAAAACAGAAACACCAUCUGCUAUUCCUAUAUGGUGUGGUUGCUGUGUUAGGUUUAUUUUAGUUGCUAAGAUCUCUCUGUGGCUGUGGAAGUAACUUCUUUGACUUGUCUAUGUAGCGUGCAGUACCAUUACCCAUCACCUUUGCUGGGAUUGCAGUGUUUUGUUUUUCUUCACCUGCUUCGGUGUUUUAUUGUCCCUUUUUGAUCUCAGGAGUGGAAAGGUUAUCUAGGUUUCAAUGCCUGAAAAGCCUCGAGAAAGCAGUACUUCUGGUUAGACUAGGAUCAGCUUCCCAGUGGCAAUGAGGAGGAUAUUCUCUGGCUACAAACCAAAAAUAUCCAUGUGGGAAACUGAUAAACGUCCCUCUCCUGGGAGGAGUGGAGAAGAGGGACCAUGGGAUAGCAAGUUGAGUAUUUCCAGGAAACCUUUUUUUUUUCUUUUUAAGACAAUCUGUGUGUUUGAUAAUACAGCAGUGUCUGCAUGAAGAAGAUGCUGAAAAGUGUAUGACGUGCAAGCAGUUGGGUUCACAAGUUUGAUACGUGCACAUAUACUUAGCCACACACGAGCACAACCUAUUUGAAGUAUUUACAAAAUAAGCAAGAACUUACUCGUAUUACACAUGAGUGGUUAAGCAGCUACCUGGGGGUUCAUUGCUAGAACGUGGUGGGCCUUUCUAGC